GGAAACCUCUGGAGCGCCUUGAUGCGGCGUACAGUUUACCUACAGGCAGGGCUUUGUCUCUGCCAGCCUCUUCCCUGUGAGCGGAUGAGAGCUGCAUGACUACCGUAACACACAUCCAGCCCUCGUACAGCAGCAGGAGACGGAGCUCACAGCGGGAUUCCCCAAAUCCCUGGCCUUCCUUGCUCGACCAUGUCCACAAAUGAAAGGGAAGAGGACCACACAGGAACCAACGACGACGCCGUGUCACUGUUCAAAACAGACACCCCUGUAAACACAACACAUGCUUCACAUGGGCUGAUCGUUGCAGUUUCACGCUUAUCAAAAAUAAGCAUCGGGCUGGAUGCACCUCUCGCCGCUACCUUCGCAGAAUCUCAAGUAUCUUAUGCAAACUGUGUGCGUUUGUUGGGGAGCUCUGGCAGCGACUGAUGAGUGUCUCAUUAUCUCCACACCAGCCGUACACAGUAAGAAGAGCAUAAUCAAAGCCUGGGGGAUAUUUCAAUUUGAUGCUCAACAAGCUGAGCCUGAGAUUAAAGGAUCAUACGUGUCAUCCACACAAACAUCACUUCCAGAGCAGGCGAGCGUACGUGAGCUCAGCUUUUCCAAGAGAGAGGCGUCACCGCCGCAGACGACGCAGUCGCACUUCUGUCUCCCUGUGUGUGUGUGUGUGUGCAACUGAAGGCUGAUGCGAUGCUUCUCACAUGUUUGAGAUGUCGAGGAAGGAGUCUUUCCUUUUUUUACAUGUGUGUGUGUGUGUGUGUGUGUGUGUGUACGUGUGACGAAUUUUGCUUUUAAGAAAUAUUUAUGAGCCGGUACCCUUCUUAAAAAAAAAAAAAAAGGAAAAAAAGAAAGCGUUGUCUUUAAUGAACAUGUUUUAGAGAUUGUUUCAGCAUCUAU
RNAcentral lists this long non-coding RNA (894 nucleotides) under Danio rerio (zebrafish). RNAcentral's name for it is "lncRNA (ENSDARG00000117399.1)". The record is from RNAcentral. Lineage: Eukaryota; Metazoa; Chordata; Actinopteri; Cypriniformes; Danionidae.